RNAcentral lists this ribosomal RNA (566 nucleotides) under uncultured Glomeromycotina. Its description in RNAcentral is "SSU rRNA". It matches the Rfam family "Eukaryotic small subunit ribosomal RNA", at positions 548 to 1114 of the family's 1831-position model. The record is from RNAcentral. Lineage: Eukaryota; Fungi; Glomeromycota.
UUGGAGGGCAAGUCUGGUGCCAGCAGCCGCGGUAAUUCCAGCUCCAAUAGCGUAUAUUAAAGUUGUUGCAGUUAAAAAGCUCGUAGUUGAAUUUCGGGAUCAAUAUAUUGGUCAUGCUUAGGUAUGUACUGGUAUUAUUGAUUUCUCCCUUCUGAAGAACCAUAAUGUCAUUAAUUUGAUGUCAUGGGGAAUCAGGACUGUUACUUUGAAAAAAUUAGAGUGUUUAAAGCAGGCAUUUUGCUUGAAUACAUUAGCAUGGAAUAAUAAAAUAGGACGGCAUGAUUCUAUUUUGUUGGUUUCUAGGAUCACCGUAAUGAUUAAUAGGGAUAGUUGGGGGCAUUAGUAUUCAAUUGUCAGAGGUGAAAUUCUUGGAUUUAUUGAAGACUAACUACUGCGAAAGCAUUUGCCAAGGAUGUUUUCAUUAAUCAAGAACGAAAGUUAGGGGAUCGAAGACGAUCAGAUACCGUCGUGGUCUUAACCAUAAACUAUGCCGACUAGGAAUCAGACGAUGUUAAUUUUUUAAUGACUCGUUUGGCACCUUACGGGAAACCAAAGUGUUUGGGUUC